GAUGAACGCUGGCGGCGUGCUUAACACAUGCAAGUCGAACGAAGCACUUUAACUUGAUUUCUUCGGAAUGAUUGUUCUUGUGACUGAGUGGCGGACGGGUGAGUAACGCGUGGGUAACCUGCCUCAUACAGGGGGAUAACAGUUAGAAAUGACUGCUAAUACCGCAUAAGCGCACAGUACCGCAUGGUAUGGUGUGAAAAACUCCGGUGGUAUGAGAUGGACCCGCGUCUGAUUAGCUAGUUGGUGAGGUAACGGCCCACCAAGGCGACGAUCAGUAGCCGACCUGAGAGGGUGACCGGCCACAUUGGGACUGAGACACGGCCCAAACUCCUACGGGAGGCAGCAGUGGGGAAUAUUACACAAUGGGCAAAGCCUGAUGCAGCGACGCCGCGUGAAUGAAGAAGUAUUCGGUAUGUAAAGCUCUAUCAGCA
This 431-nucleotide ribosomal RNA is filed under the name uncultured bacterium. Its description in RNAcentral is "bacterial SSU rRNA". It matches the Rfam family "Bacterial small subunit ribosomal RNA", at positions 28 to 441 of the family's 1533-position model. The record is from RNAcentral.